AGCUUGCUAAUGAAAUUCUUAGUGGCGGACGGGUUAGUAACACGUGAGAAUCCUACCCUUGAGUGGGGAAUAGCCUUUCGAAAGGAAGAUUAAUGCCCCAUAGUCUCUACGGAGUAAAGAUGCCUUCGGGUGUCGCUUAAGGAUGGGCUCGCGGCCUAUCAGCUAGUUGGUGAGGUAAGAGCUCACCAAGGCAACGACGGGUAGCUGGUCUGAGAGGACGAUCAGCAACACUGGAACUGAGACACGGUCCAGACACCUACGGGUGGCAGCAGUCGAGAAUCAUUCACAAUGGACGAAAGUCUGAUGGUGCAACGCCGCGUGGAGGAUGACGGCCCUAGGGUUGUAAACUCCUGUCAUCAGGGAGUAAGACUUAUUCGUUAAUAGCGUGUAAGUUUGAUAGUACCUGAAGAGGAAGGGACGGCUAACUUCGUGCCAGCAGCCGCGGUAAUACGAAGGUCCCAAGCGUUGUUCGGAAUAACUGGGCGUAA
RNAcentral lists this ribosomal RNA (488 nucleotides) under uncultured Roseibacillus sp. Its description in RNAcentral is "bacterial SSU rRNA". It matches the Rfam family "Bacterial small subunit ribosomal RNA", at positions 77 to 563 of the family's 1533-position model. The record is from RNAcentral. Lineage: Bacteria; Pseudomonadati; Verrucomicrobiota; Verrucomicrobiia; Verrucomicrobiales; Verrucomicrobiaceae.